AGAGCCACGGGACGCAGCAGUAGGGAAUAUUGCUCAAUGGGGGAAACCUUGAAGCAGCAACGCCGCGUGGAGGAUGAAGGUUUUAGGAUUGUAAACUCCUUUUGUAAGAGAAGAUUAUGACGGUAUCUUACGAAUAAGCACCGGCUAACUCCGUGCCAGCAGCCGCGGUAAUACGGAGGGUGCAAGCGUUACUCGGAAUCACUGGGCGUAAAGAGCGCGGAGGCGGGGGGUCAAGUCAGAUGUGAAAUCCUGUAGCUUAACUACAGUACUGCAUUUGAAACUGAUCAUCUAGAGUAUG
RNAcentral lists this ribosomal RNA (298 nucleotides) under uncultured bacterium. Its description in RNAcentral is "partial 16S ribosomal RNA". It matches the Rfam family "Bacterial small subunit ribosomal RNA", at positions 335 to 650 of the family's 1533-position model. The record is from RNAcentral.